GAUGAAUGCUGGCGGCGUGCCUAACACAUGCAAGUCGAGCGGCAGCGAGGGGUGCUUGCACCCUGUCGGCGAGCGGCGAACGGCUGAGUAACGCGUAGGAAUUUGCCCCAAAGUGAGGAAUAACUGCCCGAAAGGGUAGCUAAUGCCGCAUAUGGUCUUCGGAUUAAAGGAUUUAUCCGCUUUGGGAGAAGCCUGCGUUGGAUUAGGUUGUUGGUAGGGUAAUGGCCUACCAAGCCGACGAUCCAUAGCUGGUCCGAGAGGAUGAUCAGCCAGACUGGAACUGAGACACGGUCCAGACUCCUACGGGAGGCAGCAGUGAGGAAUCUUCCACAAUGGGCGAAAGCCUGAUGGAGCAACGCCGCGUGAAGGAUGAAGGCCUUCGGGUUGUAAACUUCUUUUAUGAGUGAAGAAUAUGACGGUAACUCAUGAAUAAGCACCGGCUAACUACGCG
Molecule: ribosomal RNA, 451 nt
Filed under: uncultured bacterium
Lineage: Bacteria
Description: partial 16S ribosomal RNA
Rfam family: Bacterial small subunit ribosomal RNA
Source: RNAcentral